Molecule: ribosomal RNA, 497 nt
Filed under: uncultured bacterium
Lineage: Bacteria
Description: partial 16S ribosomal RNA
Rfam family: Bacterial small subunit ribosomal RNA
Source: RNAcentral
GACGAACGCUGGCGGCGUGCCUAAUACAUGCAAGUUGAGCGAUGAAGAUUGGUGCUUGCACCAAUUUGAAGAGCAGCGAACGGGUGAGUAACGCGUGGGGAAUCUGCCUUUGAGCGGGGGACAACAUUUGGAAACGAAUGCUAAUACCGCAUAACAACUUUAAACAUAAGUUUUAAGUUUGAAAGAUGCAAUUGCAUCACUCAAAGAUGAUCCCGCGUUGUAUUAGCUAGUUGGUGAGGUAAAGGCUCACCAAGGCGAUGAUACAUAGCCGACCUGAGAGGGUGGUCGGCCACAUUGGGACUGGGACACGGCCCAAGCUCCUACGGGAGGCAGCAGUAGGGAAUCUUCGGCAAUGGACGAAAGUCUGACCGAGCAACGCCGCGUGAGUGAAGAAGGUUUUCGGAUCGGAAAACUCUGUUGGUAGAGAAGAACGUUGGUGAGAGUGGAAAGCUCAUCAAGUGACGGUAACUACACAGAAAGGGACGGCUAACUACGUG